This 497-nucleotide ribosomal RNA is filed under the name uncultured bacterium. RNAcentral's name for it is "partial 16S ribosomal RNA". It matches the Rfam family "Bacterial small subunit ribosomal RNA", at positions 28 to 507 of the family's 1533-position model. The record is from RNAcentral.
GACGAACGCUGGCGGCGUGCCUAAUACAUGCAAGUUGAGCGAUGAAGCUUGGUGCUUGCACCAAUUUGAAGAGCAGCGAACGGGUGAGUAACGCGUGGGGAAUCUGCCUUUGAGCGGGGGACAACAUUUGGAAACGAAUGCUAAUACCGCAUAACAACUUUAAACAUAAGUUUUAAGUUUGAAAGAUGCAAUUGCAUCACUCAAAGAUGAUCCCGCGUUGUAUUAGCUAGUUGGUGAGGUAAAGGCUCACCAAGGCGAUGAUACAUAGCCGACCUGAGAGGGUGAUCGGCCACAUUGGGACUGAGACACGGCCCAAACCCCUACGGGAGGCAGCAGUAGGGAAUCUUCGGCAAUGGACGAAAGUCUGACCGAGCAACGCCGCGUGAGUGAAGAAGGGUUUCGGAUCGUAAAACUCUGUUGGUAGAGAAGAACGUUGGUGAGAGUGGAAAGCUCAUCAAGUGACGGUAACUACCCAGAAAGGGACGGCUAACUACGUG